GUAGGUGGCAAGCGUUGUCCGGAAUUAUUGUGCGUAAAGCGCGCGCAGGUGGUUCUUUAAGUCUGAUGUGAAAGCCCCCGGCUCAACCGGGGAGGGUCAUUGGAAACUGGGGAACUUGAGUGCAGGAGAGGAAAGUGGAAUUCCACGUGUAGCGGUGAAAUGCGUAGAUAUGUGGAGGAACACCAGUGGCGAAGGCGACUUUCUGGCCUGUAACUGACACUGAGGCGCGAAAGCGUGGGGAGCAAACAGGGAUUAGAUACCCUGGUAGUCCACGCCGUAAACGAUGAGUGCUAAGUGUUGGGGGGGUUUCCGCCCCCUCAGUGCUGCAGCUAACGCAUUAAGCACUCCGCCUGGGAGUACGGUCGCAAGACUG
Molecule: ribosomal RNA, 373 nt
Filed under: uncultured organism
Description: partial 16S ribosomal RNA
Rfam family: Bacterial small subunit ribosomal RNA
Source: RNAcentral